Molecule: non-coding RNA, 143 nt
Organism: Flavobacterium frigoris PS1
Lineage: Bacteria; Pseudomonadati; Bacteroidota; Flavobacteriia; Flavobacteriales; Flavobacteriaceae
Source: Rfam
UUUUAGCCCAGAUUAGAGUGGAAAGCUUUUUAAAAACUGUUCUUUAGUUUUUUCAUUCUUGUAAAGCGACUGAAAGAAGCUCUUAAAAGAUGAAUAAAAACAGAAACAGUUGAAAAAACUUGCAACGGAAAGCUGGAGUAGCU